UGGUUGGGGAUGGGCUCGCGGCCUAUCAGCUUGUUGGUGAGGUAAUGGCUCACCAAGGCGUCGACGGGUAGCCGGCCUGAGAGGGUGACCGGCCACACUGGGACUGAGACACGGCCCAGACUCCUACGGGAGGCAGCAGUGGGGAAUAUUGCACAAUGGGCGAAAGCCUGAUGCAGCAACGCCGCGUGAGGGAUGACGGCCUUCGGGUUGUAAACCUCUUUUAGCAGGGAAGAAGCGAAAGUGACGGUACCUGCAGAAAAAGCGCCGGCUAACUACGUGCCAGCAGCCGCGGUAAUACGUAGGGCGCAAGCGUUAUCCGGAAUUAUUGGGCGUAAAGAGCUCGUAGGCGGUUUGCCGCGUCUGCUGUGAAAUCCCGAGGCUCAACCUCGGGCCUGCAGUGGGUACGGGCAGACUAGAGUGCGGUAGGGGAGAUUGGAAUUCCUGGUGUAGCGGUGGAAUGCGCAGAUAUCAGGAGGAACACCGAUGGCGAAGGCAGAUCUCUGGGCCGUAACUGACGCUGAGGAGCGAAAGGGUGGGGAGCAAACAGGCUUAGAUACCCUGGUAGUCCACCCCGUAAACGUUGGGAACUAGUUGUGGGGUCCAUUCCACGGAUUCCGUGACGCAGCUAACGCAUUAAGUUCCCCGCCUGGGGAGUACGGCCGCAAGGCUAAAACUCAAAGGAAUUGACGGGGACCCGCACAAGCGGCGGAGCAUGCGGAUUAAUUCGAUGCAACGCGAAGAACCUUACCAAGGCUUGACAUAUACGAGAACGGGCCAGAAAUGGUCAACUCUUUGGACACUCGUAAACAGGUGGUGCAUGGUUGUCGUCAGCUCGUGUCGUGAGAUGUUGGGUUAAGUCCCGCAACGAGCGCAACCCUCGUUCUAUGUUGCCAGCACGUAAUGGUGGGAACUCAUGGGAUACUGCCGGGGUCAACUCGGAGGAAGGUGGGGAUGACGUCAAAUCAUCAUGCCCCUUAUGU
This 980-nucleotide ribosomal RNA is filed under the name uncultured Microbacterium sp. Its description in RNAcentral is "bacterial SSU rRNA". It matches the Rfam family "Bacterial small subunit ribosomal RNA", at positions 216 to 1207 of the family's 1533-position model. The record is from RNAcentral. Lineage: Bacteria; Bacillati; Actinomycetota; Actinomycetes; Micrococcales; Microbacteriaceae.